UUGGCAGCCUGCGCAAUCACAAUUUUCGUACGGUUUCACUCCCCUCCCGAUAUUCUCUCACCCCAUCCGAUCAGGGGGAGCGCUGCAGCGACGGGAAGACCUACUCCAGCCGCCGCUGUUGUCCCCGGGCAGUGCCGGUGGCGUCCUGAGGGCACCAAGACGUUGAGGAGGACUGCUACCUCGACUACAUCACCCCUGCAUCACGCCUGCAUCGAGCAGGCAAUCAUGUCCACUGCUGUGACAUCUUGCGCUCCAUUCCGGUCCGACACGAUCGAACCACUUACGGGGAGUAACUUCCCUCGUUGGAAGUCCCAAGUCGAAUUAUGUUUGGGUUGUAAUGAAUUUUACUAUGCCUUGAGGGAAGAAAAACCUGUGGCACCUGUUGCAGAUGCUACAGGGUAUGCAGAACUCAAGAAGAAUUAUGAUGUUAAGAUGGAAAAGUGGAACAAGUCCAAC
Molecule: ribosomal RNA, 456 nt
Filed under: Triticum aestivum (bread wheat)
Lineage: Eukaryota; Viridiplantae; Streptophyta; Magnoliopsida; Poales; Poaceae
Description: partial small subunit ribosomal RNA
Source: RNAcentral